RNAcentral lists this ribosomal RNA (119 nucleotides) under uncultured bacterium. RNAcentral's name for it is "partial 16S ribosomal RNA". It matches the Rfam family "Bacterial small subunit ribosomal RNA", at positions 355 to 471 of the family's 1533-position model. The record is from RNAcentral.
UGGGGAAUUUUGGACAAUGGGCGCAAGCCUGAUCCAGCCAUUCCGCGUGCAGGAUGAAGGCCUUCGGGUUGUAAAGUGCUUUUGUACGGAACGAAAAGCCUUUCUCUAAUACAGGGAGG